Molecule: RNA transcript, 1450 nt
Organism: Brassica napus (rape)
Lineage: Eukaryota; Viridiplantae; Streptophyta; Magnoliopsida; Brassicales; Brassicaceae
Gene name: photosynthetic NDH subunit of subcomplex B 3, chloroplastic
Exons: 8
Source: RefSeq, a predicted model, not a curated record
AUAACUUGUGGAAAAGCGAAGUCCACAUAUUUCGCGGUUUGCUGUUUUAUCUCUUUCCCAUACGAAAAGUCGAACUGAAAGAAAUGGCUUCGCUCGGUUUCAACCUCGGAUUCUCCUUCUCCGGUGUGAAGAAUAGACAAGUUUCCGUGAAUGGAAGAGCUCGCGUUAUCUCCUGUUGUUCCUCUUCUUCUUCAGAAGCAUCUCAGCAGGGGAUUUCUACCACGAAGCCUCCUCCUGAGAUAGAGCUCGAGUUCUUCGGUCCGAAGCCUGGGAGCGACGGGACGUAUCCGAGGGAUAAAGCGAAAGCUGUGAGCGGAGAGAAGCUUCUGAGAAGCAUCAUGCAGGAUAGCAAGAUCGAGCUUUACGCUACUUACGGGAAAGUGAUGAACUGUGGAGGUGGAGGAAGCUGUGGAACUUGCAUUGUUGAGAUUCUUGAUGGCAGAGAACUUCUGAACGAGAGAACAGAUACAGAAAACAAGUAUCUGAAAAAGAAGCCUGAAUCUUGGAGGCUCGCGUGCCAAACAAUAGUAGGGAACAAAGAAAACUCAGGAAAGGUUGUGGUUCAGCGGAUUCCGCAAUGGAAGAAGUGAAUUCCCUUGAAACAAGAAGAUUGAGAAUCAUGCCAAAUUAGGAAGGAUAUACAUCAUUCCAUCAACAUUGAAGAUUCUCAAUGGAUACGUCCCCCCUCAAAAUAAAUAUCUUGACCAAAUUAAAUAGACCAUCUACUCUGUAUCUCUCUCUCACACACGCCAAAUUCGUCAAAGCUAACUGUAAACAUAAACACUAUAAAAGAAACCAGUUUUCCAGCUCGGAAAAUACAACAAAUAGCGUCAAGCCUGAUGAAUGAUACAUAUCACCUAAAAGAAACCUCAUAACCGGUGAAAAAACAGCCAGGACGCAAUCUUUUUUUUUUCCUCAUUUAUUAACUUUUAAACAUUUUCUUGUUGAGAAAGAAAAAACAAAAAGCAAGGGGCCAAAGAGAGGCAUCGCUAUCAUAUCCCUCUGAAUCCUCCUCCUCCUCCUCCCUCCUGUAAUAAUAAAUUAUUAUUAUUAUUUUUGUUUUGUUUUUGUGUGAUUGCUGUUUUGGCUCCCAAAAUUUAAUAUCCAGAAAUAUCUAUAAUAUAUUUUUUUAAUAUCCCUCCCCCCCUUGUUGAACGGUGAGCACAAAAUAAAUAAUAAAAAAAAACGCAAAAGGGAAUUGAAGAAAGAACACUACUACGAUCAACAACGACGAUAACUAGGAAAGGAUUUCUAUAAGCUGAAAAAGUUGACUCUUCUUCUUCUUCUUCUUCCUCUUCCUAAAUUGGAUUCUGGGUUUUCUGAGGAGGAAAAAGUCAUCCAUUGAAGGAGGAGGUUUUGUUCCCUAAUUUCUCGUGAUAAUCAGUUUCAGGACAUCGAAUUCAACUUUCCAUGGUGCACAAAAACCCUAGAUGGGUGUUUCUCUUCUGAG